Molecule: unclassified non-coding RNA, 281 nt
Filed under: Auriculariales sp.
Lineage: Eukaryota; Fungi; Basidiomycota; Agaricomycetes; Auriculariales
Description: partial contains 5.8S ribosomal RNA, internal transcribed spacer 2, and large subunit ribosomal RNA
Source: RNAcentral
CGCACCUUGCGCUCCAUGGUAUUCCGUGGAGCAUGCCUGUUCGAGUGUCACGUCAACCCUCACCCUCGUGAUGUCAAAGUCACUUGCGGUGGAUUUGGACCGUGCCGUAGUUGGCUCGUCCUGAAAUGCAUUAGCUUGCGCUUUUAGAGUGCUGAGCACGGUGUGAUAAUUAUCUACGCCAACGCUCAAGGCCUCUUCAGCGGCGCUGCUUACAGUCGUCCUGACGGACAAUUACUCCAAGCUUUGGCCUCGAAUCAGGUAGGACUACCCGCUGAACUUAA